UUUUAGAAAUUAAUUUAAAGUCUAACCUGCCCACUGAAAAUUUUAAAUGGCCGCAGUAUUCUAACUGUGCAAAGGUAGCAUAAUCAUUAGUCUUUUAAUUGAAGGCUGGAAUAAAUGGUUGAAUGAAAUAUUAACUGUUUCAUACAAAUUAAAAAUAGAAUUUUAUUUUUAGUCAAAAAGCUAAAAUAAAUUUAAAAGACGAGAAGACCCUAUAAAUCUUUAUACCUUCUAAAUUUUAGUUAUUUAGAAUAUUAAAAUUAUAAUUUUAUUAGGUAUUUUAUUGGGGUGAUAUUAAAAUUUGAUUAACUUUUAAUUAAUUUAAACCAUUAAUUAAUGAAUUUAAUGAUCCAUUAAUUAUGAUUAUAAAAUUAAGUUACUUUAGGGAUAACAGCGUAAUUUUUUAGAGAGUUCCUAUUGAUAAAAA
Molecule: ribosomal RNA, 424 nt
Filed under: Megaselia sp. 3 SH-2017
Lineage: Eukaryota; Metazoa; Arthropoda; Insecta; Diptera; Phoridae
Description: partial 16S ribosomal RNA
Source: RNAcentral